CACGUAGGGCGCAAGCGUUGUCCGGAAUUAUUGGGCGUAAAGAGCUCGUAGGCGGUCUGUUACGUCUGCUGUGAAAACCCGGGGCUUAACCCUGGGCUUGCAGUGGAUACGGGCAGACUAGAGGCAGGUAGGGGUCGAGGGAACUUCUGGUGGAGCGGUGAAAUGCGUUGAUAUCAGAAGGAACGCCGGUGGCGAAAGCGCUCGACUGGAUCUCUUCUGACGCUGAGGCGCGAAAGCUAGGGGAGCAAACGGG
Molecule: ribosomal RNA, 253 nt
Filed under: uncultured bacterium
Lineage: Bacteria
Description: partial 16S ribosomal RNA
Rfam family: Bacterial small subunit ribosomal RNA
Source: RNAcentral